RNAcentral lists this long non-coding RNA (1260 nucleotides) under Homo sapiens (human). Its description in RNAcentral is "HSALNT0211887". The record is from RNAcentral. Lineage: Eukaryota; Metazoa; Chordata; Mammalia; Primates; Hominidae.
AAAAGACAGAAUAAAUCAUUUUAAUUGCCAUCAAGUUAUUUCACAUAGUUAAGUUUCAAACCACAGUACAAAACCUGUCAGACUUUUAGAUUUGAAUACUGGGUUGUUCUGCUUCAAUAAUUGAACUUGUUCUGGAAUGCAAGGAAAGGUUUCAAAAAUUAGUUUUUAGCUUUUACAUUUCAGCUUCCAUUAAAGAAUUCUACUUAGACAACUGCAAAUACAUAUUUGUAAGAAAAGUGUGGUGUACUUUAGAUCUGAAUAGAAACCAUCAAGAAAAUGUAGUUAAAAAAAGACAAGUAGAAGUCCUAAAUGAUUUCUCUUCAUCAGAAGAUAUUGUUCCUUUGUAUGAUACUUUACAGUUAAUGAGGUUUCCACAUGCAUUAUCACAUCUGAUACUCAAAACUACCUUAUUUUAUCUACAGCUUUAUCUAGUUACAUUUUGAUUUUAUGCUUAGGUUGAUAAACAAUUCCUAUAAGAAAUAGCUAUGUGAAAUUCAUUUUUGUAUCUGCUGUAAAAAACAUUGAGGGCACCUUCUAUUACUCAAAUUCUAUGUGAGAAAUUUAUAUUUUAGGGUUAAGAACUCAAGGCAAUAUGAGGUAGAAUAAAGAGGGCUAGACUAAGAGUAAGGAGAUAUGUGUUCUAUCCAUUUAAUAUUCAAUAAUCUCAGGAACUUAAUUUAACUUCUUUUGACUAUAUAAAGUACUUGGAGCCUUAGGUUUUUUUAUGUGAUAUAAUGGGGGUACCAAUAUUGCCUUCUCAAUAAAGUUGCUGGGAUGAUCAAGUAAGAUAUAUAUACACAUGCUAAUAGCAUGUGUAUAAACAAGCAUGUGUGUACACAAACUUACAGCACAGUGUGGAGAAUUAAGGAAUUCUAAUAAUUACUAUAUUAAACGUGGUGUUUCCCUUUUUGCCCUGACUGCCAGGAAGCUCAGAGUCAAAUGUGACACAUUUGAAUUAAUAUAACUGUGUUAAUUCCAACAGUUGUCACAAGUGUUUUCUUUUUUCUUGAUCCUGAAUUUGGUGGCUCCUAUUUAUAUUCUUUUAUUGUCAUAUGUCGGUGGAAAGAGGAGGGAUUAGAAAUAUAUGUAAUAUUUUAGAAAUAAUUAAAGUAGUAUGUGGCAGAACUGGUAUUGAAAUUUAGGUCUUCUUUCUCUAAAAGUGAUAUUUUUACCGUAGCUUCAUUUUAAAUAAUUGGCAAAUGAUUUACAUUGUUGCAUUGAUUUUUUUGUUUUUUAAAUAAAAAUUAAAAUGAACUUCCA